RNAcentral lists this small nucleolar RNA (99 nucleotides) under Mus pahari (shrew mouse). Its description in RNAcentral is "snoRNA (MGP_PahariEiJ_G0034154.1)". It matches the Rfam family "Small nucleolar RNA SNORA17". Rfam says of the family: snoRNA ACA 17 belongs to the H/ACA family of snoRNAs and is predicted to guide pseudouridylation of the 28S rRNA at positions U4659 and U4598. It shares the same host gene together with ACA43. The record is from RNAcentral. Lineage: Eukaryota; Metazoa; Chordata; Mammalia; Rodentia; Muridae.
CCUGUCCCUCGAGGCAUUGCAGGCAUGGCCGCUGUGUCCCGCAUGCGUCAGUAGGUGGCAGAGAGGAGAGAAACCCUGUAGGAGCAGGGGUCUCUUACC